This 494-nucleotide ribosomal RNA is filed under the name uncultured bacterium. Its description in RNAcentral is "partial 16S ribosomal RNA". It matches the Rfam family "Bacterial small subunit ribosomal RNA", at positions 28 to 507 of the family's 1533-position model. The record is from RNAcentral.
GACGAACGCUGGCGGCGUGCUUAACACAUGCAAGUCGAACGGAAAGGCCUGCUUUCCCUUGUGGAUUGCGGGUACUCGAGUGGCGAACGGGUGAGUAACACGUGAGUGAUCUGCCCCCAACUUGGGUAUAAGCCUGGGAAACUGGGUCUAAUUCCCGAUAGGACUGCAGGGUGGUGCCUGUGGUGGAAAACGAUUUUCUAGUGGUUGGGGAUGAGCUCGCGGCCUAUCAGCUUGUUGGUGGGGUAAUGGCCUACCAAGGCGGCGACGGGUAGCCGGCCUGAGAGGGUGGACGGACACAUUGGGACUGAGAUACGGCCCAGACUCCUACGGGAGGCAGCAGUGGGGAAUAUUGCACAAUGGGCGGAAGCCUGAUGCAGCGACGCAGCGUGGGGGAUGACGGCCUUCGGGUUGUAAACUCCUUUCGACCGCGAGGAAGCCACCUGGUUGGAAGGGUGGUGACGGUAGUGGUAGAAGAAGCACCGGCUAACUACGUG